This 701-nucleotide ribosomal RNA is filed under the name uncultured Candidatus Saccharibacteria bacterium. Its description in RNAcentral is "bacterial SSU rRNA". It matches the Rfam family "Bacterial small subunit ribosomal RNA", at positions 571 to 1281 of the family's 1533-position model. Lineage: Bacteria; Candidatus Saccharimonadota. The record is from RNAcentral.
GUAGGUGGCUUGUAAAGUGAAUAGUGAAACCUGGUGGCUCAACCAUACAGACUAUUAUUCAAACUCACAAGCUCGAGAGUAGCAGAGGUAACNUGGAAUUUCUUGUGUAGGAGUGAAAUCCGUAGAUAUAAGAAGGAACACCAAUGGCGUAGGCAGGUUACNUGGGCUAUUUCUGACACUGAGGCACGAAAGCGUGGGGAGCGAACCGGAUUAGAUACCCGGGUAGUCCACGCCGUAAACGAUGGAUACUAGCUGUUGGAGGUAUCGACCCCUUCAGUAGCGAAGCUAACGCGUUAAGUAUCCCGCCUGUGGAGUACGGUCGCAAGACUAAAACAUAAAGGAAUUGACGGGGACCCGCACAAGCGGUGGAUCGUGUUCUUUAAUUCGAUGAUAAACGAAGAACCUUACCAGGGUUUGACAUCCUUGGAAUUUCUGUGAAGGCAGAGAGUGCUUUAUUGAGCCAAGUGACAGGUGAUGCAUGGCCGUCGUCAGCUCGUGUCGUGAGAUGUUUGGUUAAGUCCAUCAACGAGCGCAACCCUUGUGAAUAGUUGUAUUUUUCUAUUCAGACUGCCCCGGUAACGGGGAGGAAGGANGGGNAUGAUGUCAGGUCAGUAUUUCCCUUACACCCUGGGCUAGAAACACGAUACAAUGGUUAGUACAAUGCGCAGCGAAGCCGCGAGGUGGAGCAAAUCGCAUCAAAA